RNAcentral lists this ribosomal RNA (253 nucleotides) under uncultured bacterium. Its description in RNAcentral is "partial 16S ribosomal RNA". It matches the Rfam family "Bacterial small subunit ribosomal RNA", at positions 524 to 776 of the family's 1533-position model. The record is from RNAcentral.
UACGUAGGUGGCGAGCGUUGUCCGGAUUUACUGGGCGUAAAGAGCGUGCAGGCGGUCGUUCAAGUCGAGUGUGAAAGCCCCCGGCUCAACUGGGGAGGGUCACUCGAUACUGAUCGACUUGAAGGCAGGAGAGGGAAGCGGAAUUCCCGGUGUAGUGGUGAAAUGCGUGGAUAUCGGGAGGAACACCAGUGGCGAAAGCGGCUACCUGGCCCAUUCUUGACGCUGAGGCGCGAAAGCGUGGGGAGCAAACAGG